Molecule: long non-coding RNA, 486 nt
Filed under: Salmo salar (Atlantic salmon)
Lineage: Eukaryota; Metazoa; Chordata; Actinopteri; Salmoniformes; Salmonidae
Description: lncRNA (ENSSSAG00000119800.1)
Source: RNAcentral
CACGAUUGAGACAAACAGAGGUGUCACGAUUGAGACAGAGGUGUCACGAUUGAGACAAACAGAGGUGUCACGAUUGAGACAAACAGAGGCGUCACGAUUGAGACAAACAGAGGUGUCACGAUUGAGACAGAGGCGUCACGAUUGAGACAAACAGAGGUGUCACGAUUGAGACAGAGGUGUCACGAUUGAGACAAACAGAGGUGUCACGAUUGAGACAAACAGAGGUGUCACGAUUGAGACAAACAGAGGUGUCACGAUUGAGACAAACAGAGGCGUCAUGAUUGAGACAAACAGAGGUGUCACGAUUGAACACAAACCUCUCUGAUUGAGAGAGCUAAUGGCUGGGAGUAAUGGUACUCUACGGCCAUUCCCCACAUCGCCAGCAGGUGGAGGUAGCAGCGUACAGCAGCUGUGGUUACCGCCACUGAUCCGUCCGUCACAGCAUCAGAACCAGCCUGCCUCAUGUUCCUCAUUUCCCCAUUUCUG